UCGCGGCUCUACGUCUCGCCUGAGCCGGGCGCUUCUCCGCGCCCAAUGGUCGUCGCCUGACGCAAACAGCUGCGCCGCCCAGCAGUGGAAGCGGGUUUUUAAAGAGAUCCAACGCCGUCCUCGUUCUGGCGUCGUCUCUCGCUGCCUGCAGCGUUUUUUGUUGACGAAUCCCAUCCAGCCGGCCGAUUCAAAUGUUCCACCGUGCAUCGUUUUGGUGUCUGUAAUUACUCCCUCGCUCCCCGAAUAAGCUAAAAUCACUUUAAUGUGUUUCACAGCGUGUGCUUCGCCGUUUUCUCACCUCUCAGCGCGCCAAAGCGCAGCCGUUGGCAACGACUGUUCACUGUACAGCAGUUUUUACUGGCUGUUUUUACUGACUCAGAAACCCCUUUCAUAACCCCAGGACUCCGCCCCCUGAUUAGUAAUUGUUGAAAAUAAAUUCCUUUGGUGAUUUUCCAAUGAAACCGUUCUAUCGGCCGUGCGGUAUCCCGGGUUGAAGCGGUAUACCGGUACGAGAUUUCCGUGCGGUAUGAAUGUCUCACGUCCCGUUCAUACCGUGGCUCUCUCACGUGUGAUGAGAUGAAGUCGUGGUUAGAACUUUAUAACGAUGAAUAAGCCACGACAAACAGUCUUUAACGGAGCAAAAGCGUCACAUACGGAGAUUCUAAAUGCCGUGAAGUGGAUUUCUGGCCACCGCGCCCAGCCCUGAUGGGGCCGACCGCGGUUUGUGAUUUUGGGAUAUUGGGUUUGUUAUUCUGUGUUUUCACUGAGAAACGCUGUGAUGAUGAUCUGUUAAACACUCGUUUUAGUUAACUUAUUAUUUUGGUUCAUAUAGAGCUGAUUUAAUCAUUAUUUGGUAAGUUCAGACAGCUUUGAGAUGUUACACCCUGCCUCAGAAAAACGACUUUCCCAUAUGAAACUUCUCUUAUGUUCUGAUUAUGUUUACUUUUCAUGACAUUUCUCAAAUAGGUCAUAAAUUACUAGUUUUUUAAACUUGUUUUUAGUGUCGUUUAACCAUAAGCCUGAAAUAUUAUGUUAUUAAUAGUUAAAGCAGCCAAACAAGGAUUAUAUGACAUGCGUGAUAUUCAUAUUCUGAUCCAAACUGUUGGCAUGUAGCAGUGGAGCCGUGGGCAGAAUGAGUUAAAUGAUAAUAACUUGAGUCUCGUGAGGCCUUUAAAGAACAUAUUUGAGACUUUUGAUCACUCAGCUCUGGUUUCUGGUUUCUACUGGCUCUCUUUAUUCUUUGGUGACUUAACUUCACAUUUCCUCUCGCUGAGGAACCGACUUCGGACAAGAAGCAGGUGCACUUUCUCUCUCUUCCUUUCUCGCGACACGUUUUCCCGUCGCUCCUCCCCGAAAAAAAGGUGCCUUACACAAGUCGGCUCGUCGGAGCGAGGAAUCGGAACAAGCGGCCUCUGUUAUGCAUCACUCGGGUCUAGACAGCAACUCGCAUUACUUCUCAGCUGAACCGCUAGCGGCGUUAUUGCUGGCGCCGUAAAGCGAUGGAGACAAAGCCAGUAAAAGUUGAAGAAACACAGAUCAUUCAUGUAUUUGGGCUUCCAGCAAUUUGCCAGUUGGAUGAAUUUGCAUGCGGUAAGAAAUCUACACUCCAAUGCAACUGGAAGGGUCAGUUUCAUACACUGCUGCUUAAUUAUGAGUCAAUCCUGUGCUUUGUCAGACCAGUGGACCAAAUAUUGAACAAAAGGUUGAGAACCUGCACGGUGGAAACGUGGAGAAAAUCAGCCAAAUACCCGUCUGCAGCCGCAUAUGGAGGCUGUCCUGUGACAACAAUGAUUAACAAAUGGUUUUGAACUACUUGCACGGUACAUAAAAAGUAAUAGUGCUCAUUCACUGCAGUCUUUGGGAGGAGGUCAAACCCCCUGUGUAUUAAAGUGCUCACAAUAAACUCACUGAUAAUCUGGAGGAUCGGUGUAUGUCUGCGGAGUGGAGUUGUUUGUAAAUGAAAAGACACAUUGACACAAAUAUAAAAUGACUUUAGUCAAAGAAGAGGUGUUGUGUGUCAAGGUGUGCAAACAUGUAGCGAGAAUGACAUGAUGGUCACAAGUCUGGUUCAAAAUUCUUGCAUUUUGUAUUAAGAGUAUAGUUUCACGAAAGGGGAUUUUUGAUACCGGAUUUAGACAAGAACUUU
Molecule: long non-coding RNA, 2146 nt
Organism: Gasterosteus aculeatus aculeatus (three-spined stickleback)
Lineage: Eukaryota; Metazoa; Chordata; Actinopteri; Perciformes; Gasterosteidae
Source: Ensembl